Molecule: ribosomal RNA, 464 nt
Filed under: uncultured bacterium
Lineage: Bacteria
Description: partial 16S ribosomal RNA
Rfam family: Bacterial small subunit ribosomal RNA
Source: RNAcentral
CUACGGGUUGCACCAGUGGGGAAUAUUGCACAAUGGGCGCAAGCCUGAUGCAGCCAUGCCGCGUGUAUGAAGAAGGCCUUCGGGUUGUAAAGUACUUUCAGCGGGGAGGAAGGGAGUAAAGUUAAUACCUUUGCUCAUUGACGUUACCCGCAGAAGAAGCACCGGCUAACUCCGUGCCAGCAGCCGCGGUAAUACGGAGGGUGCAAGCGUUAAUCGGAAUUACUGGGCGUAAAGCGCACGCAGGCGGUUUGUUAAGUCAGAUGUGGAAUCCCCGGGCUCAACCUGGGAACUGCAUCUGAUACUGGCAAGCUUGAGUCUCGUAGAGGGGCGUAGAAUUCCAGGUGUAGCGGUGAAAUGCGUAGAGAUCUGGAGGAAUACCGGUGGCGAAGGCGGCCCCCUGGACGAAGACUGACGCUCAGGUGCGAAAGCGUGGGGAGCAAACAGGAUUAGAUACCCGCGUAGUC